AGUUUCAAGUCUUCCUGUCUCCAAAGCAGUGAGUUCUUCUCUCCAAAUAAAACCCUAACUUUCUGCUCUUGUCUUUCUUCUUGAGUUGAGCUGAUCUGAUAAACAAUGUCAUUUCCUUCCGUUAGAAAUACAGUAUCUCAUCUGAUAAGGAAUCUCAGUGAACAUUCUUCAAAAACCCAGGAUUUAUCUCUUCUUCUGCUUCUUUCAAUUAGGGCUAGAUCCAUCACCUCUUCCUCCAGAUAUUGCUCCCAAAAUCACAGCUCUUCUUCUUCUUCUUCUUCUUUUGUUGUUUCUUAUCUCAUCAAUUCAUGUGGGCUAGCAGAAAAUGAAGCAAUCUCUGCUUCCAAAAAAGUCCAUUUUAUGACCACAUCAAAGCCAGACUCAGUUGUAUCCCUACUCGAGAGCUACGGAUUCACUAAACGUUACAUGUGCAAACUUAUCACCAAGAGACCAUCACUACUCUCAUCCGUUGCUGAGGGAGUACAUCCACUGAGACAAAAAUGAAUAUGUUUAGGGGAUUGGGUUGGUCUGAAGACAAAAUUCUUAACGCUUUUAAGAAACAUCCUCAGUGUAUGAUUACUUCUAAAAAUAAAGUAUUGGCGAUAAAUGAUUUCCUUGUGAACCAAAUGGGUUAUACUUCAUCGAUUAUUGCGGCAUGCCCAUCAAUCUUUUGUUAUAGCUUGGAGAAGAGGAUUAAACCAAGGUGUUCUGUUUACCGAAUUUUAAUCUCCAACAAUCUGAUUAAAAAAGAAACCCCUAACAUCACUUUUGAUAAUGCCUGAGAAGUUGUUCUUGAAGAAGUAUAUGAUCAAGUUUGAGCAGGAAGCUCCAGAACUAAUGAAGGCAUACCCAAGGUCUGUUUAACUUUGAGUAACAUGAUUGCUGUCCGUCUCUCAAUUUCGGUUGUUUUAUUAUAGUUGUAUGACUAAUGGAAUAAAGAUGACAUGUUGAUCUGUAUAUAAAGAGUAAAUCUAGGUUACAAAGUAUAUUUAUGAGAGUAUGAAUGAAUGAAUCAUCAGUAGUCUAUUAGCAUUCCCACUCAUUACAUGUCUCUAAAUAUUUCUAGCAGCAGAUCUAUUGUACCUAUUUACUCUCUUGAUUUUUCUCAA
This is a long non-coding RNA of Papaver somniferum (opium poppy), 1109 nucleotides long. RefSeq lists it as uncharacterized. The record is from RefSeq and is a predicted model, not a curated record. The transcript is spliced from 2 exons. NCBI's taxonomy places the organism in Eukaryota, Viridiplantae, Streptophyta, Magnoliopsida, Ranunculales, Papaveraceae.